Lycium barbarum (goji berry) is the source of this 7240-nucleotide long non-coding RNA. RefSeq lists it as uncharacterized. The transcript is spliced from 5 exons. NCBI's taxonomy places the organism in Eukaryota, Viridiplantae, Streptophyta, Magnoliopsida, Solanales, Solanaceae. The record is from RefSeq and is a predicted model, not a curated record.
UGGACCCCACAAUCCAAGAAAUGGACUCUACCUAACCAUGUCUUGUAUACAUCUAAGACUUAUGUUGAUCAGAUUGUAGCUAAGCAACUUGUGGUGGCAAGAACACUUCUCCAAAGCUAACCAAACGUACAUGGAUAAACUUGGUGAUUUCGAUAGUGUAUAGACCAAAAUCUUUUAGACUAGAUGAGUUCUUCACAAAUCCAAGACAACAAUUAAUUGCUGAACAACAAAAUAUAUGAAUCAACUUGCAUUUUAUUUUAAGGUCUUGGCAAAGGAUUCAGAAGCUCCUUGGUAGGGUUGUACAGUUUAGCAUAUUGUUAGCAAGCUCCAUUGUUCCGGACUCGCUUGUUGUUGGGUAUGCAUAUGAUAUACUUAUUUUUUAUUUAUACAUAUGUUGAAUGGGUAUGACGGGGCCCUGUCCCGACCAGUAUGAUACGUAUUUGGUCUUAGAGGCUCAUAAACAGUGAUUGGUAUAUGGAUGUCAUGUGUGGCCUACCCGACCUUAGUCGAGUUUUGAUAUUGUUGCUACAGGCUUGCCGGCCUUAUGAUAUAUGAUUGAUGUUAGUGGCAGCCUUGUUGUCUUGCAUAUCUAUAUGUGUGUAUUUAUAUAUAUGUGUGUGUGUGUGCGCGCGCGUGCGCGCACAUGUGUCUUGUAUUGUGUUGGGCCUUUUCUGCUUGCAGGUGGCUGGUGCCAUAUUAUAGUUACAUCAUACAAUUUCUUGUAGUUGUUGAGAUAUGGAUUAUGCUUGUAUCCAUGCGAGAUGGUGCUCGGUGAGUCAAGCCGGGUGCCGGUCAUGCCCCACGGUUUGGGAUGUGACAAAGUGGUAUCAGAGCAGGUCAGUCCUAGGGAUGUCUAUGAGUCGUGUCUAGUAUAGUCUUGUUUAUGGGUGUGUAGCGCGCCACACUUAUGAGCAGGAGGCUACAAGACAUUUAGGAUUGUUUCCUUUCUUUCUUUCUUUCUUUCUUGAUCUAGAUCGUGCGAUAGAGCCAAGUCAUAAGAAGUUCAUUCCUAAUCUUCCUUGUACUAUACAUCGAUCCUUACGGCUAGGAUGCGGAUGACUAGUCAGACAACCGGCGGGGGCUGCGGAAACAAAAGAGUCGUAUGGACUCAAUCGGAGCCCAUGUUUACGAUGACGUGAAUAUAAGCCUCCAUCAGAGUAUGCGUGCACCAGUGUGCGAGCUUAAAGUCAGAGUCUUAGGAUGUGAAUUAUCAUCUUAAUUGUGCGAGGGAGAACUAGGUUAGGAGGACAUUAGGAUGAAGGUGGGAAAUUUUAAGGACUAAAAAUAAGGCAGAAAAGGCAUUAGGUACGGAAAGAGAGAGAUUUGAGGCUCAAACGAAGCAGCGCGAGUAUUAUGGCUCCGUUUCCAAUAUUGAUAAGAGCAUGCUUAAUGGCACUCGUUUCAGUUGCAACCUCUGUACUUCAAGGAAGGCGACUUUAGGAGGGAUGGGAAUUCGGGAUCUAGUACAAGUUGUAAAAACAUUAGCAGUGGAAAUAGUGAUUGGAUUUAGGGUAUUAUUGCCACGGGACAUGUUAUAGUCCCUCACCAGGCAAGGGAAAUAAAUAUGUUUAAAGUGUCCAAGAAUGGUAUAGUCGGAUGUGGCUAUUGAAUAAUAGGCAAUAUCGGGCCUUGUGCAUGGAAUACACAAUUACCUCGAUGUAGCUUAUGUUACUAGCAAGGGGAAGGCAUUGAUAGGCUUGGUUAAGGAUAAGGGAAGCUAUAAAUGAAAUAAAGUUCUAUUGGAAAUUUACAAAAAUAGGAUGAAGCGGUGAGGUCGACAUUUCGAUUCGCUGUCUAGGAAGGGAAAGGAAAGACAGAAAACCUGCGCUUAGAUGAGUAAGAUAAGAAAAGCGUUAGAAAUAGAUUCAAAAAUGCUGAAAGCUAGGAAUUUGAACCUUACCUAAGGAUUAAGUACUUCCCACAAUGUGACUUGUAUUACGGGAAAGAAGAGAUAUUAAGUAACUAACGGACAAACUCAGUUAAGAAGAAAAGGGCUAGAAGUGAAAGAACAGUUGUUAAGGAUCCUUCUAGACAAGGCAGGAUGGUGAAGUUAGCAAAGGAUAAUGGAAUAAGUGUUAGGAGUAGAAGUAAGAAGUGAAUAGAUGCCAUGAGGCAGGUGCAGGAGUGCAAGAGAACUUAUAGUCCAGUAACAGAACAGGGCGAGAAAAGACAAAUAUAGAACUAUAGGUCAAGAAUAGGAAGGAUAAAAGUUGCCAGGUUAUAUCUUUAUUAUGGUAAGCGAACAUAGGUAAGAGUUCUCAGCAGACCAAUUGAACAUUCCGGCUUAGGAGACACCAACAUUGAGUAAAGUUAAGCCGAACCCGAGUGAGAAUCUCGAGGAGCUCCGACAGUUGAAGGGCGUUGCAACAUUUAACAGCCAGCAAACAGUGUAGCGAAAAAAGCGUACAACAGAACAAUAAAUAGGAGAGACUAUUAAAGGUAGUCAUUAAGACACGCAUCAUGAAUCAGAGUUAAGUUCAUCAGGUUGAGCUGCUAGUUGCGAAUGAGCGGCACUAUUGUGGUUGAAGCGAUUCAAAUGCUUCCAGUUAGUAAAUACCAUAGUAAGGCAAGCAAUGAGUAGCGGGUGCAUGACGAAUUGAUAAAGUAGUAGCAAUGAUGCGACCCCACAGGAAUAGAACCUUUAAGUAUGAGAGAUUAGCCAUUCUCCCAAAAGGAGGAAAUGGAGUGGUGGAACUUCGAGAUAUUAUGCGUUGGACUAGUGAUUGUACAACAGAAAGGGUUAUAGUUAAGUGUUAAAAAUAGAUAGGAUAAUGAUAGUGCAACACCCUACAGGGUGUCGUGAUGGUAGGACCCUACACGUGUACGGAAUCAGAAAGAAUAUGGUAAUAAGAACUAGACAAGAAGUACCAACCAAAGAUAAAAACAAUCGAGCAAUCAAGAUUUAGGUGGUAAGGGAAGACGGAACGGUAUGGUACCAAAACGAGUUCUUCAAAUUAUUGCAAAAGAAGAUAGUAUGACCUGAGCAAUCAAUAAUUGACGUGUGAAAGGCCUAGGUGUGGCAAAAAGAGAAGUCAUAGAUGAGAUAUUAGGCCAUGAAGAAUUAUACCAAGGAUUUGAGUGUAAGAAGAUUUCGUCUUGUAAGCCGCACUUGUAAUCCUUAGUGGGUACUUCAGACAAAGGUGAUAACCGAUAUCGUUUAGUAUAAACACUUCGAAAUAUAAACGGGACUACCGAGCUUGAAGCUACAAGAAAAGUCAUUCGAAGAUUAUGCUUAAAGGAAACACUACUAGUAGAAGAAGAGGAUGUGGAAGUAGAUAGAAGGAAUUGUAGAUGGCUCAAUUCACCUGAAAUUCUACGAGGAACCUGCAACAUUGGUAUGGAAUGAAAGCUUUUCAGUUACAAUUGAGGCUAAAUGUUAGCCAAGAGAUGUAGGCACAAAAAUUUGUUUCAUGAUCGCUAAUGAAUGCGAGGUAUGAAAGAGGAAGUCAAGUGACUCAAACAAGGUUGAGGAAGCAUUCCAAAUCUUGCUAGUGAAUACUAAGUCGUCAUUGGAAAGAGUAGACCAUGUUAACUUACAAACUGACGGUUCUUGACUUUACAAUAAGAUGCGUCGGUGAGGUUCAUAGAUAAAAAUCUUAUUGGAAAAAAGAUAACUGUAACUAGAAAAAGAGUGGGAUAAAUUUUAAAGCACUAAAAUAUGAGUUCGGAAGUAUGAAUUCCCUAUCAGGGGGUUUUACGGUGUAUGAAUUAGAGUCGGUUAGGCUCGAUAUAAUUCAUCAGGGCAUAAGGGAGAUGAGGGUUGUUCAGGAUCAGAAUAAGUUUUAGGAAGCAGGCAAACCCAACUAAGACAUAUUGAGUUCUGUAAAAUUGCCAGAUGAGCAUGCCAAGUGUACAGUAUGACAAUGAAGCAAGAUCAAGGCUGCGAACUUAUAAGCGCUAUAAAGGAAUAACAAUGUUACAAACAUGACAUGAAAGCCAAGAAAGAGACAAAACCCAAGAAGGUUCUCAAUGACAGAGUCUCUAGUAUACGUCUCUAUACGAUCGAGCUAGCUUCUAUCCCAUGAAAUCCCAACAGGAAUGAAACCUCCAUAUACACCCCUUACCGUUCGAGGACGAAUGUUCUUAAGGGGGGAGGGUGUUGAACUUUGCACCAUUUGCGCUACUAAUCCACUUUAAUUCAACCAGGAUAAGCUUGAAUAACUUCAUUUUCCUUGAGGUCAUAGAGUAGUUUGACUCUAUUAAUCCGAAUUUAGGGUAUAUCUAUGUCGCACCUCGUACCUCUUACGUUGACUGUGUUAAGUAUUUUCGGAUAUAAUCCAGAGAUAUUAAAGUCACUCCCUACGGACAGCGAAGGUUAUGUCACGGUAAGAUUUAACCGACUAUGGUUGGAUAUAGUAGAGGGUGGCCAAGGUGAAGCAAUACGAGGGGAAGCAAGAGCGAGACCUAAUGUACAAAGGCAAAGAAUACCCUUAUCUAUUUGGACUAAAGGUUCUUAGUAACUAAUGCUCUCUUGUUUUAUCUUAUUAACGCAUGAUACAAUGAAGCUUAUUAACUCUGAUUCUGGAAACUAUAUGGCAUUCGAAGUGAGGCAAUACAAGAAAGACUAGGGGAAAAUUAUGACUUACAAGGUAAACAUGGGUAAAGGAUAGGGUGACUAGCUUCUUUGAUGUAAAGGCUGCUUCACCAUCAAUAUGGUAUAUGUUGUAUAUAUGAAAUUGUGUAAGUUCUGUGGGGUAUACAAGAAAACUCUAUUGACGUUUCUGCAUAAUUCUCGAUAGUGAACCCUUCUCAUAGACCUCUACAUUCGAGGACAAUGUUCCUAAGUGAUGGAGGAUGUUACGUCCCGUAUUUUCGUGCGUUAGAAAACAUUCAAGUUAGACAACAUUAGUAGUGAAAAAUGAGGUUGUCCCCAAGCUUAUAGGCGGUUAGAAUGAUAUUCCAGAUAUGUCGAAAGGAUCAGAAGUUAAACAAAUCGAAGAAAAUAAGUUUCGUCGAGGUUCAACAUCUAUUUGUAUGAAAUACAGCCCAAGCUAUAGUACCCUCGUAUUUUUGGACUAGGAAAUUGAACCGUCCAACAUGAGUAAAUUUACCCGAGCCCAGAGAAUUUGGUCAUAUUCGAGCAUGUAAAUCAAGAGCUUGGUGUAUAAAAAGAUGACACCCCAAAAUGAUUUAGGACUUAGAAGUGUGACGAUGGUAGUUGGGAACAAUAUUUGGUGUGUACAUAAGGAGGAUAUGGACUAAUGUUAUACCACAUGAUUAUGACAAUGAGUAUAUGAGGUGUGUUAAAAAUAAUUUUUAUUUAAGUGAAUUGUGAUCAAGAAAUUAAUUACGUGUGUAAUUAGUUAAAUGUGGAGGGCAAUGGAGAUGAGUAAUUAAUCAUUUAGUGGAUAAUUGUGAAUGGAUCAUUUCUACGUGGCAGCCCUGAAGGAAGGACCAGUAGUGACUAUUCAUUUUGUUGGCUAGUUGUGGCAUCUUUACUACUUAAUUAAUCAAGAUAAUACAAAGAGGUGGACCCCACAAUCCAAGAAGUGGACUCUACCUAACCUUGUCUUGUGUACACCAGACUUAUGUUGAUCAGAUUGUAGCUAAGCAACUUGAGGUGGCAAGAACACUUCUCCAAAGCUAGCUAAACGUACAUGGAUAAACUUGGUGAUUUAGAUAGUGUAUAGACCAAAAUAUUUUAGAUUAGAUGGAUCCUUCACAAAUCCACGAAAACAAGGAAUCGCUGGACAACAAAAUAUACGAAUCAACCUACAUUUUAUUUUAAGAUAAGUUGUAGAUAAAUUCCAUCUUCGAUUCUCCUUUCAAAUUCUUGAGCUCUCAUCGUUCUCUAUCUCGUGUUUGAAGUAGUUGUGUGUUUCUUGAAAGAUUAUGGUGGAAUAGAUUGUUCUCAGCUUUUUUAAGGUAUGUAUUCUUUUCCUAAUAUCAUAGACGAGGUCGUAAAGGUCGUUGUUGAUGUGAUCAACCUAUAGGACUCACAGAACGGUGUUCGGAAGCCAUGAGUCCGAAUUGUUGAACGUAUUGUGGGCUAUUUGUGUUAAUUAUUGGGCUUCCAUAUUGUGUUGCUAUUGUUAUGGAGAUCUGGAGGUGUUGUUGAGUUAUCUAUGUUUUGUGUGUAUUGAUUUGGAGUUCGGAAGGACGGAGAGCAGGCCGAAACGCCGCAUAGUUGAGUAAAUAAGCGAGCUUGCCGCUCGUCAUUAGGUCGCUGUUUCUUCUUACGUUUGAUGCUACUGUUGUCAUCCUUCUAGUAGAUUAACUUGGGUUGAACGGGCUGUUCGUGGUGGUUAUUGAAGAGUCUAGUUUUUGUUCUCUUUAUUAUUUGGCAUGAAUCCAACUAGAACAUGACUACGAGCAUUCCAUAACAACUCAUUCCACUUCUAUGCUUUGUACUUCAAUUAUAAUGCCUUAUUUAUUUGAUUGAUUCUUGUUAUAAUGGUUUACCUUCACUAAAUAGUUCCUUGAUGCCGAUAUGAGUUUCCAUAACGUUCUUCGGAGGUGAUCAAUCUUGCGUCAUUCUAAAAGGCCCAGAUGUCAUCUUAUGGGUUCCUCAUGCAUUAUAUAUAUAUGUAUUCAUUAUUUUACUACUCCGCGCCACACUAGCGUCGGUCGGGAAGGCACGUAGAUAUGCACACCAAUGCACUUGGGCAUGUUAUGAUGAUGAUGUUCCCCCAAAGUGUGGGUUGAUGAUGACAUGAUGAUGUAUAUAUGUAUAUACGUAUAUGAUUUUUCAACCCAUGCAUUGCAUAAUGUACGUCCUCAGAGUCUCAGGUCCUGGCAAAGGAUUUGGAGGCUCCUUGGUAGGGUUGUAUAGUUUUGCGUAUGGUCGGCAAGUUCCAUUGUUUCGGACUUUCUUGUUGUUGGGAUUGGAGUACUAGUUCGACGGCUUCAUUGUGGGAUUGUGUGAAAGACUUGAGGUUCAGGUAGACAGGUUGACCAUCCGCCACUGUAGGUUUCUCUUCAGCUGAUGUUGGAGCACUCCCCUUGUUCCAGAGUUGCUGUUGUGUUUUUGGUACAUUAUACUUUUGUGUGCAUAUGGGUAUGGCGGGGCCUUGUCCUGACCUUAUAAUGUCAUACACUUCAGUAGAGGCUUGUAGAUAGUCAUGGGUGAGUUAGACGUUGUAUGGCCCUUUCAGUCUAUAUUUAUUCUGUAUAGUAUUUCAUGAUGGCCUUGUCGGCUUGCACAAUUUUUGUCCAGCAUAGUUUUAUAGUACAUCUUUUCGGGAUCAUCCCUUUUCAACAUAUUUCUGUUAUGAUCUUGAAGAUUUAUAUCCAAAGACCC